This 624-nucleotide long non-coding RNA is filed under the name Salarias fasciatus (jewelled blenny). RNAcentral describes it as "lncRNA (ENSSFAG00005017779.1)". Lineage: Eukaryota; Metazoa; Chordata; Actinopteri; Blenniiformes; Blenniidae. The record is from RNAcentral.
GGGCUGCAAUAUCAACCGCAGCCUGUUCACGCUGGGCCAGGUGAUCAAGAAGCUGACCGACGAGAGCCAGAAAGUCUUCACCAGCUACAGGGACAGUAAGCUCACACGGAUCCUGCAGAACUCUCUGGGCGGCAACGCCAAGACGGUCAUAAUCUGCACCAUCACGCCGGCCACUCUGGAGGAGACCCUGAGCACGCUGCAGUUUGCGAGCACCGCAAAAAAAAUGAAGAACGACCCUCAUGUGACGGAGGUGUCCGACGACGGCGCCCUGCUCAACGGUACCGCACGGAAAUCGUGGACCUGAAGCGGCGUCUGCAGGAGGUGAGCAGCCGCACGUUUCCGCCCGGUGCAGUCGCCUCCGUGUUUCCUCGGCUGAAGCUGCAUGCGGCGCCUGCAGGUGUCCUCGGUCACCCAGACCACCGCCACGGAGAAGGAGGUCCUGUCCCAGCUGCUGCAGGAGAAGGAGAUGCUCCAGAGGGAGCAGGAGGACCGGAUCAAGAACCUGACCCAGCUGCUGGUCACCAGCUCCAACCAGGUCACCGUCAAAAAGGUGAGCCUCACGCCAGCCGCUCCUCCUCCACAGAGCGCCCCGGCCCCGCCGCCGGGCGCCCCGGCUCCGCCUCG